This 506-nucleotide ribosomal RNA is filed under the name uncultured bacterium. RNAcentral's name for it is "partial 16S ribosomal RNA". It matches the Rfam family "Bacterial small subunit ribosomal RNA", at positions 28 to 507 of the family's 1533-position model. The record is from RNAcentral.
GAUGAACGCUGGCGGCGUGCUUAACACAUGCAAGUCGAACGAAGCACUUUAUUUGAUUUCCUUCGGGACUGAUUAUUUUGUGACUGAGUGGCGGACGGGUGAGUAACGCGUGGGUAACCUGCCUUGUACAGGGGGAUAACAGUCGGAAACGGCUGCUAAUACCGCAUAAGCGCCCGGCAUCGCAUGAUGCAGUGUGAAAAACUUCGGUGGUAUACGAUGUACCCGCGUUGGAUUAGCUAGUCGGCGGGGUAAAGGGACACCAAGGCGACGAGCCGUAGCUGGGCUGAGAGGAGGACUAGCCAAACUGGAACUGAGACACGGUCCAGACUCCUACGGGAGGCAGCAGUGGGGAAGAUUGGACAAUGGGCGCAAGCCUGAUCAAGCCAUACCGCGUGGGUGAAGAAGGCCUUCGGGUUGUAAAGCCCUUUUGUCGGGAAAGAAAAGCAGCAGGUUAAUACCCCGCUGUUCUGACGGUACCAAAAGAAUAAGCACCGGCUAACUUCGUG